GUCAAGGUGGUGGAGUGGUUAACACGUUCGCCUGCUAUUCCGAGUUUACUCUGAAAGUUAGCGGAUGCCUUCUGGGCGCGCAGGUUCGAAUCCUGUCCUUGACG
Terfezia boudieri ATCC MYA-4762 is the source of this 104-nucleotide non-coding RNA. The record is from the annotation of a GenBank genome assembly. Lineage: Eukaryota; Fungi; Ascomycota; Pezizomycetes; Pezizales; Pezizaceae.